This 312-nucleotide ribosomal RNA is filed under the name uncultured bacterium. RNAcentral's name for it is "bacterial SSU rRNA". It matches the Rfam family "Bacterial small subunit ribosomal RNA", at positions 30 to 353 of the family's 1533-position model. The record is from RNAcentral.
AUUGAACGCUGGCGGCAGGCUUAACACAUGCAAGUCGAGCGGAGACUUCGGUCUUAGCGGCGAACGGGGUGAGGAAUGCCUGGGAAUCUGCCUGGUAGUGGGGGAUAACGUUCCGAAAGGAACGCUAAUACCGCAUACGUCCUACGGGAGAAAGCAGGGGACCUUCGGGCCUUGCGCUAUCAGAUGAGCCCAGGUCGGAUUAGCUAGUAGGUGAGGUAAAGGCUCACCUAGGCGACGAUCCGUAGCUGGUCUGAGAGGAUGAUCAGCCACACUGGAACUGAGACACGGUCCAGACUCCUACGGGAGGCAGCA